This 17-nucleotide transfer RNA is filed under the name Okanagana balli. RNAcentral describes it as "partial tRNA-Lys". Lineage: Eukaryota; Metazoa; Arthropoda; Insecta; Hemiptera; Cicadidae. The record is from RNAcentral.
UAUUAAGUGACUGAAUG